AGCAGCCGCGGUAAUUCCAGCUCCAAUAGCGUAUAUUAAAGUUGUUGCAGUUAAAAAGCUCGUAGUUGAACUUCGGAAUUUGCCCAUUGGUCAGGCUUAACUGUCUGAACUGGUGUGACGAGUUCCUACCUUCUGAGGAAUCUUCAUGCCAUUCAGUUGGUGUGGGGGGAAAUCAGGACUGUUACUUUGAAAAAAUUAGAGUGUUUAAAGCAGGCAUCCGUCUGAAUACAUUAGCAUGGAAUAAUAAAAUAGGACGGUUUGGUUCUAUUUUGUUGGUUUCUAGGAUCACCGUAAUGAUUAAUAGGGAUAGUUGGGGGCAUUAGUAUUCAAUUGUCAGAGGUGAAAUUCUUGGAUUUAUUGAAGACUAACUACUGCGAAAGCAUUUGCCAAGGAUGUUUUCAUUAAUCAAGAACGAAAGUUAGGGGAUCGAAG
Molecule: ribosomal RNA, 432 nt
Filed under: uncultured Diversispora
Lineage: Eukaryota; Fungi; Glomeromycota; Glomeromycetes; Diversisporales; Diversisporaceae
Description: SSU rRNA
Rfam family: Eukaryotic small subunit ribosomal RNA
Source: RNAcentral